This 179-nucleotide ribosomal RNA is filed under the name uncultured soil bacterium. RNAcentral describes it as "partial 16S ribosomal RNA". It matches the Rfam family "Bacterial small subunit ribosomal RNA", at positions 26 to 233 of the family's 1533-position model. The record is from RNAcentral.
AGAACGAACGCUGGCGGCAUGCCUAAUACAUGCAAGUCGAACGAACUCUUCGGAGUUAGUGGCGCACGGGUGCGUAACGCGUGGGAAUCUGCCCCUUGGUUCGGAAUAACAGUUGGAAACGACUGCUAAUACCGGAUGAUGACGAAAGUCCAAAGAUUUAUCGCCAAGGGAUGAGCCCG